CCCAUUUAGGUUCAGUCCCACUGCUCCUGUUUGGUCAGCAGGCACCUUUUACCAUCUGCUUCAUUUGCAUUUGCUCUAUCUUUUCUGUUAUUAUAUAAUAGAGACAUAGCUACAUGGCAAGUUAGAUCAGAAGCACAGUCUGAGAACUACAGAAUUUUCAAUUUGCUGGUUUUUUUUUUUUCAGCUUUUGAAAAAAGCUUCAUUCGUAAAAACAAAAGUCAAAAGACAACAGUGAAGCCAAGAAGACAGCAAAUAGACACUGCCAAUGACCCAAAUGCUACAGUCAGAAAAUAAAUUUCUAUGGCUUAACGUCUGGGCACCGAGAAUAUUUUUCAGAAAUGAAGGGUACCUGAUAAGCCUAAAAAGAAGUAGAAGAAUAAGAAAGUGGUUUCUAAAAGCUGAAAGCUGGAUAAGUUUUAAAGCCUGAAACCUUACAUUGGAUGCAGCAGCUGAUGUUCUCAGGAAUUUAUCUUUUAGGUCACAGAGUCAAGUAAAACUCUUGUAAGACUAUCACUAGAUACUCAAUAAUGGAGAAAAAAUGUUGAAUAGAUUGCAAUGCAAUGCUACAAAAUGAUCUUUAUUAUAAAAAUACUUUAGGUCAUAUGGCCCUGUGAGCUCAUUGAAUUGUGCUUGGCUGUUGAGAUGACAGAAUUCAGUCCCAUAUUUUCUGGUCAUGUGAAUUUCACUAGGUGAGGAAUAUAACCCUCUGAUAUGAGGCAAUUGUCUACC
This 729-nucleotide long non-coding RNA is filed under the name Anser brachyrhynchus (Pink-footed goose). RNAcentral's name for it is "lncRNA (ENSABRG00000010993.1)". The record is from RNAcentral. Lineage: Eukaryota; Metazoa; Chordata; Aves; Anseriformes; Anatidae.